ACUCAAAUGAAUUGACGGGGACCCACACAAGCGGUGGAGCAUGGGGUUUAAUUCGAUGACAAGCGAAGCACCUCACCCAGGCUUGACAUCCUAGAAAUACUGAAGAAAUUUGGUAGUGCCGCAAGGAAUCUAGAGACAGGCGCUGCACGGUCGUCGUCAGCUCGUGCCUUGAGGUGUACUGUUAAGUCAGCCAACGAGCGCAACCCUAAUCUCAUGUUGUUUUUUCAUGAGAGACUGCCGCCUCCAAGGCGGAGGAAGGUUAGGAUGACGUCAGAUCAGCGUGGCCCUUAUGCCUGGGGCAACACCCGUGCUACAAUGGUCGGUACAAACGGCAGCCAACCCGCGAGGGUGAGCAAAUCCGAUAAAACCGAUCUCAGUUCGGAUUGAAGUCUGCAACUCGACUUCAUGAAGUUGGAAUCGCUAGUAACCGUGAAUCAGCUACGUCACGGUGAAUAUGUUCCUGGGUCUUGUACACACCGCCCGU
Molecule: ribosomal RNA, 484 nt
Filed under: uncultured bacterium
Lineage: Bacteria
Description: partial 16S ribosomal RNA
Rfam family: Bacterial small subunit ribosomal RNA
Source: RNAcentral